GGAGGGGGCAAGCGUUGUUCGGAAUUACUGGGCGUAAAGGGCGCGUAGGCGGGAUGUCAAGUUAGGGGUGAAAGGCCUGGGCUCAACCUGGGAACUGCCUCUAAAACUGGCACUCUAGAGUCCGGGAGAGGAUGGCGGAAUUCCCAGUGUAGAGGUGAAAUUCGUAGAUAUUGGGAAGAACACCAGUGGCGAAGGCGGCCAUCUGGUCCGGCACUGACGCUGAGGCGCGAAAGCGUGGGGAGCAAACAGGAUUAGAUACCCUGGUAGUCCACGCCGUAAACGAUGUGUGCUAGCCCGUUGGGGCACGUUGGUGCUUCAGUGGCGCAGCUAACGCGUUAAGCACACCGCCUGGGGAGUACGGUCGCAAGAUUA
Molecule: ribosomal RNA, 372 nt
Filed under: uncultured organism
Description: partial 16S ribosomal RNA
Rfam family: Bacterial small subunit ribosomal RNA
Source: RNAcentral